UACGUAGGGUGCAAGCGUUAAUCGGAAUUACUGGGCGUAAAGCGUGCGCAGGCGGUUUUGUAAGACUGUCGUGAAAUCCCCGGGCUUAACCUGGGAAUGGCGAUGGUGACUGCAAGGCUAGAGUUUGGCAGAGGGGGGUAGAAUUCCACGUGUAGCAGUGAAAUGCGUAGAGAUGUGGAGGAACACCGAUGGCGAAGGCAGCCCCCUGGGUCAAGACUGACGCUCAUGCACGGAAGCGUGGGGAGCAAACAGG
RNAcentral lists this ribosomal RNA (253 nucleotides) under uncultured bacterium. RNAcentral's name for it is "partial 16S ribosomal RNA". It matches the Rfam family "Bacterial small subunit ribosomal RNA", at positions 524 to 776 of the family's 1533-position model. The record is from RNAcentral.